This 782-nucleotide ribosomal RNA is filed under the name Gigaspora rosea. Its description in RNAcentral is "eukaryotic LSU rRNA". It matches the Rfam family "Eukaryotic large subunit ribosomal RNA", at positions 1 to 694 of the family's 3401-position model. The record is from RNAcentral. Lineage: Eukaryota; Fungi; Glomeromycota; Glomeromycetes; Diversisporales; Gigasporaceae.
AUCUCAAGUCAUGUGAGAGUACCCGCUGAACUUAAGCAUAUCAAUAAGCGGGAGGAAAAGAAACUAACAAGGAUUCCCCUAGUAACGGCGAGUGAAGCGGGAAGAGCACAAAUUUAAAAUCUACCUGGUUUUCAGGUCGAGUUGUAAUUUGAAGAUACGUUUUUGACGUUCAGGGUUGGACUAAAUCCUUUGGGAUAAGGUAUCAUGGAGGGUGAGAAUCCCGUAUAUACCAACCAUAGGGAUGUUAUUUAAUACGUUUCUAAGAGUCGAGUUGUUUGGGAAUGCAGCUCUAAAUGGGUGGUAAAUUUCACCUAAUGCUAAAUAUAAGCGAGAGACCGAUAGCGAACAAGUACAGUGAUGGAAAGAUGAAAAGAACUUUGAAAAGAGAGUUAAAUAGUACGUGAAAUUGUUGAAAGGGAAACGAUUGAAGUCAGUCAUGCCAGUGGGAAUCAACUUAGAGGAAACUCUAGGUGCACUUCUUCGCUUGGCAGGUUAGUGUCGAUUUUGGAUGUCAUAAAAUGACUGGGGGAAGGUAGCUCCUUUGGGAGUGUUAUAGCCCUUGGUAGAUGUGAUGUCUGGAAUCGAGGAUUGCAACGGAUACCCUUUAGGGCUAGUCACCUGAUCUCUAAUUAGUGCUAGAUUACGGACAGCAUGCUGACCGUGAUUUAAUUAUUGGUUAAAAGGUUAGAGUGCACAUAAAUUCGUUAAGGACACUGACGUAAUGGCUUUAAACGACCCGUCUUGAAACACGGACCAAGGAGUCUAACAUGUAUGCGAGUGUU